GAUAACAUUUGAGUGAGUGGCGGACGGGUGAGUAACACGUGGGUAACCUGCCCUAAAGUGGGGGAUAACAUUUGGAAACAGAUGCUAAUACCGCAUAAAACCUAGCACCGCAUGGUGCAAGGUUGAAAGAUGGUUUCGGCUAUCACUUUAGGAUGGACCCGCGGUGCAUUAGUUAGUUGGUGAGGUAAAGGCUCACCAAGACCGUGAUGCAUAGCCGACCUGAGAGGGUAAUCGGCCACACUGGGACUGAGACACGGCCCAGACUCCUACGGGAGGCAGCAGUAGGGAAUCUUCCACAAUGGACGAAAGUCUGAUGGAGCAACGCCGCGUGAGUGAAGAAGGUUUUCGGAUCGUAAAACUCUGUUGUUGGAAAAGAACGUAUUUGAUAGUAACUGAUCAGGUAGUGACGGUAUCCAACCAGAAAGCCACGGCUAACUACGUGCCAGCAGCCGCGGUAAUACGUAGGUGGCAAGCGUUGUCCGGAUUUAUUGGGCGUAAAGCGAGCGCAGGCGGUUUCUUAAGUCUGAUGUGAAAGCCUUCGGCUCAACCGAAGAAGUGCAUCGGAAACUGGGGAACUUGAGUGCAGAAGAGGACAGUGGAACUCCAUGUGUAGCGGUGAAAUGCGUAGAUAUAUGGAAGAACACCAGUGGCGAAGGCGGCUGUCUGGUCUGUAACUGACGCUGAGGCUCGAAAGCAUGGGUAGCAAACAGGAUUAGAUACCCUGGUAGUCCAUGCCGUAAACGAUGAGUGCUAGGUGUUGGAGGGUUUCCGCCCUUCAGUGCCGCAGCUAACGCAUUAAGCACUCCGCCUGGGGAGUACGACCGCAAGGUUGAAACUCAAAGGAAUUGACGGGGGCCCGCACAAGCGGUGGAGCAUGUGGUUUAAUUCGAAGCAACGCGAAGAACCUUACCAGGUCUUGACAUCCUUUGACCACUCUAGAGAUAGAGCUUUCCCUUCGGGGACAAAGUGACAGGUGGUGCAUGGUUGUCGUCAGCUCGUGUCGGGAGAUGUUGGGUUAAGUCCCGCAACGAGCGCCACCCUUAUUACUAGUUGCCAGCAUUUAGUUGGGCACUCUAGUGAGACUGCCCGAGAACAAACCGGA
RNAcentral lists this ribosomal RNA (1102 nucleotides) under Latilactobacillus curvatus. Its description in RNAcentral is "bacterial SSU rRNA". It matches the Rfam family "Bacterial small subunit ribosomal RNA", at positions 78 to 1167 of the family's 1533-position model. The record is from RNAcentral. Lineage: Bacteria; Bacillati; Bacillota; Bacilli; Lactobacillales; Lactobacillaceae.